UUCAAAUUCACGCAACAUUUUUGUGCGUAGUUUACACCACUGAUAUCAAGAACUUGAUAAAAUAUUUGGCGUUAAUUACGUCGUUUUAUGAAACCCAGGGGGGGUUCAUCGCCAUAGGGACACACGUACAAGGAAAUUGCUACCAAAUGCUGCCAAUGUGACGUCACUGGGAUGCUCGAAAGCUGAUUGGUCGCUGAGAUUCGAGUAACGUAGUCAAUUCUGGCGCACCGGCGCAGUGUUUUCCGACCGUUGCGUGUUAUUACUUUGGUUGUUAUGCAAAGUUUUAAUAUGUUUGUUUAAUAAUAUAAACACGUUUUCAUGUGUUUGAAGGUCGCAAAAGCUUAACAUAAGUGGCAACCGCACUUUGUAUUACGUUUCGUCUCAUAUAUUAUGAAGAACAACCAAGUAGGAUUUCAAGCUGGGAUCAUGCUGAGGAACCUCUACCAAGGAAAGCUGAGGCGAGGGCGAGUAGGUCCCUGAGGAGGACCACUGCAAAGGAGGUCAAGGAGAUUCUGGGAGCAGCCUGCGAGCAACCUCUAGACCAGCCAGCAGGCACCUCUGACAAUGCCGCUGCCGGAGUCGACGCUGGCAGCCAUGGCCGGCGCCGAGCUGACGAGUUCCAACCUGGAAGCUCAGCGCGAGGGGCUGGCAUUUGUUGCCGGCUUCGUGGCAUACAAGUGUCACCACAUCGACGCCACCCUCGGUAGUCGGUCUCCUGACUUCUCGGGCGCCGCCGGAGACACUGAACACCCUGCCGAACAGCUGAAUUGUGACGAUCAGCCGAGGCCAGCCGUUUGUUCUGUCACAAGCCUGGGUGGCCGCUGUGGAGGAGUUCGAGCGGAACUUCUGCCUGCUGAUGGGGGCAACUGCAGAUCAGGGGCCGCGAGUCAUACAGCGUCUCAAGCUGUUCAUCGCCGUCAAGCAGCCUCAGCUCGGCACCUGCGUGUCCAGGAAGUUGGCGAGCACCCGUCUCCACUUCCCCCUUCGGUCCUUAGCCUGACUGGACGAGGUCUGGCAGCUGAAAAGAGCCGAUAGAAAAGUUGGCCAUCAUGCAAGGAGCUCUAGGUGAGCUGGUAAACCGGCUCGUGUAGCGACUACGACUGCUGGGUGGUGCUGUGUGACUCGGUGUGGUACGGCCGGCUCUGUGUGGAUGCUGUGCGACUCGGCAUGGUGCCUCCGGCUGUGUGUAACGGCUGUGCGACUCGGUGUGGUACGGCCGGCUCUGUUGGUGCUGUGCAACUCGGCAUGGUGCCUCCGGCUGUGUGUAACGGCUGUGCGACUCGGUGUGGUACGGCCGGCUCUGUGUGGGUGCUGUGCGACUCGGCAUGGUGCCUUCGGCUGUGUGUAACGGCUGUGCGACUCGGUGUGGUACGGCCGGCUCUGUGUGGGUGCUGUGCGACUCGGCAUGGUGCCUCUGGCUGUGUGUAACGGCUGUGCGACUCGGUGUGGUACGGCAAGAUUUGUUGGUGCUGUGUGACUCGGCAUGGUGCCUCCGGCUGUGUGUAACGGCUGUGCGACUCACUGUGCGACUCGACAUUGAGUAACGGCUGUGCGUCUCGAUAUUGUACCACCAGCUGUGAGUAACGGCCACCCGUAAGUGAAACUUAUAAUAUUUAGUGACAAUGU
This 1626-nucleotide long non-coding RNA is filed under the name Amphibalanus amphitrite. RNAcentral's name for it is "uncharacterized LOC122383852". The record is from RNAcentral. Lineage: Eukaryota; Metazoa; Arthropoda; Thecostraca; Balanomorpha; Balanidae.